RNAcentral lists this long non-coding RNA (218 nucleotides) under Elaeis guineensis (African oil palm). RNAcentral's name for it is "long non-coding RNA (EGUI_LNC055279)". Lineage: Eukaryota; Viridiplantae; Streptophyta; Magnoliopsida; Arecales; Arecaceae. The record is from RNAcentral.
CGCUGUUGUGGUCCAUUGCCUUCCAUUUUCCUUUUCGCUUGGAGUUUUUCUCCGCUGAAGUCGAGGCAAAGUUCGGCUCCCGUAGGAGUCUUGACGAAGAACACUAGCUGUUGAAGUUGGUGACAAAGUCCGGCUCCCGUAGGAGUCCGGGCGGAGAGUCCCUCUUGAAGUUGGAGUUGUGGGCGGAGCCCGGCUCCCGUAGGAGUCCGGGCGGAGUC